UCAGGCCUAACACAUGCAAGUCGAACGGUAACGCGGGGCAACCUGGCGACGAGUGGCGAACGGGUGAGUAAAGCAUCGGAACGUGCCCAAUCGUGGGGGAUAACGUAGAGAAAUUUACGCUAAUACCGCAUGAGAUCUAAGGAUGAAAGCAGGGGAUCGCAAGACCUUGCGCGAUUGGAGCGGCUGAUGUCAGAUUAGGUAGUUGGUGGGGUAAAGGCCUACCAAGCCGACGAUCUGUAGCUGGUUUGAGAGAACGACCAGCCACACUGGGACUGAGACACGGCCCAGACUCCUACGGGAGGCAGCAGUGGGGAAUUUUGGACAAUGGGCGAAAGCCUGAUCCAGCAAUGCCGCGUGCAGGAAGAAGGCCUUCGGGUUGUAAACUGCUUUUGUACGGAACGAAACGGUCUGGGUUAAUACC
RNAcentral lists this ribosomal RNA (421 nucleotides) under uncultured bacterium. Its description in RNAcentral is "bacterial SSU rRNA". It matches the Rfam family "Bacterial small subunit ribosomal RNA", at positions 42 to 467 of the family's 1533-position model. The record is from RNAcentral.